UAAAUCCAGUGCUCCGAAGCACGGAAUAACUUGGCUCGUCGCGCCAAAUUCUUCCUUCUUCCCGUGCUGAAUCGUCCUUUCUGAUAGCAUAUAUCCACGUUCAAUCAGAGGAACCACAAAUCCUACCGCUGCCGCCGCAAAUCCAUCCCAGCCGCCCUGCUCCGGCCAUGUCUCGCCGGCCGGCGCGUAAUGGAUCUUCUGCAACUCUGGGCAUGCGCAGACAAGCUUCUCCAUCCCCAAUUCCCGUGUAUGCCCCCACCGCCGGACUAUGCCGGAUUUGGCACCAGCGCCUGGCACGUUUGGUGGGACGGGUCUGCUGCUAGUAGCCCUAAUCUUUCUUCUCCAGCAGAUUGGGUAAAUGAUGUUCACCCACCUAGAGAGGUCAUGUCUAAAACACUGCGGUGCUAGAAGUAUAAAAACACAUUUCACAUGAUAAGGUUGAGGCAUCACGGCUCACCCUGGAGACAGCGACGGAGAACAAGGAGGCCAAGACAAAUAUUGAGUCUACAUUUUACCUAAAUCCACGACAACUAUUUAGGACCAAAUGAAAUAAUAUAUACAACCUCUUGAUGCUAAAGAUCAUUUGUAUUUCGUAGAUGUACUAAACGUAGUAUUUGCAAUUAUCAUGUAACACAAUGUCAUCUACAUGGAUACUAGUUACGGUUGAUUCCUACAUUUUUGCAAGCAUUUAAUGUGCUAGAGAA
Molecule: long non-coding RNA, 704 nt
Organism: Lolium rigidum
Lineage: Eukaryota; Viridiplantae; Streptophyta; Magnoliopsida; Poales; Poaceae
Exons: 2
Source: RefSeq, a predicted model, not a curated record